UAUAUUUUAGUGUAAGAAGCACAAUAAUUUUUGGCAUUAUUAGGUAUAGUUUAAUUCUAUAAAAUAUAA
RNAcentral lists this transfer RNA (69 nucleotides) under Parantica sita. RNAcentral's name for it is "tRNA-Gln". RNAcentral also lists the same sequence under 2 other names. The record is from RNAcentral. Lineage: Eukaryota; Metazoa; Arthropoda; Insecta; Lepidoptera; Nymphalidae.